GGAGAGGUGGCUCAGUGGUUAAGAGCACUGGCUGCUCUUUUAGAGGUCCUGAGUUCAAUUCCCAGCAACCACA
RNAcentral lists this transfer RNA (73 nucleotides) under Mus musculus (house mouse). RNAcentral's name for it is "tRNA-Ser". Lineage: Eukaryota; Metazoa; Chordata; Mammalia; Rodentia; Muridae. The record is from RNAcentral.